UUCCAACAGUUAUCCAUAAGUCAAAGUAAUGUUCAUUGCGUUUGAAAACCCUUCUCCCAUGCUAAAAGGAGAAGUGAUGACAUUGUUGGCACAUAAAUACAAUGAUAUUUUCAUUCAAUAAAUUCAUGUUAAAUGUUUGUUUUCCCAAUUAUUUUCCCUUUUCGCUUUUUGCAUGAAAUUGGCGAUCACAUAAAACCCUAAAUAAGAAUAAAA
This 213-nucleotide long non-coding RNA is filed under the name Lathyrus oleraceus (garden pea). RNAcentral describes it as "Pisum sativum (pea) long non-coding RNA (PSAT_LNC004522)". The record is from RNAcentral. Lineage: Eukaryota; Viridiplantae; Streptophyta; Magnoliopsida; Fabales; Fabaceae.